RNAcentral lists this ribosomal RNA (164 nucleotides) under uncultured bacterium. RNAcentral describes it as "partial 16S ribosomal RNA". It matches the Rfam family "Bacterial small subunit ribosomal RNA", at positions 355 to 511 of the family's 1533-position model. The record is from RNAcentral.
UAGGGAAUCUUCCACAAUGGACGAAAGUCUGAUGGAGCAACGCCGCGUGAGUGAAGAAGGGUUUCGGCUCGUAAAACUCUGUUGUUAAAGAAGAACAUAUCUAAGAGUAACUGUUCAGGUAUUGACGGUAUUUAACCAGAAAGCCACGGCUAACUACGUGCCAG